Molecule: ribosomal RNA, 378 nt
Filed under: uncultured bacterium
Lineage: Bacteria
Description: bacterial SSU rRNA
Rfam family: Bacterial small subunit ribosomal RNA
Source: RNAcentral
UAAUACGUAGGAGGCGAGCGUUAUCCGGAUUCAUUGGGCGUAAAGGGCGCGCAGGCGGCCUGUUAAGUCAGUUGUGAAAUCUCCCGGCUCAACCGGGAGGGGUCAACUUGAAACUGACGGGCUUGAGAGCAGCAGAGGGAGGUGGAAUUCCCGGUGUAGCGGUGAAAUGCGUAGAGAUCGGGAGGAACACCAGUGGCGAAGGCGGCCUCCUGGGCUGUUUCUGACGCUGAGGCGCGAAAGCGUGGGGAGCAAACAGGAUUAGAUACCCUGGUAGUCCACGCUGUAAACGAUGGACACUAGGUAUGGGGAGUAUCGACCCUCUCCGUGCCGAAGUUAACGCUAUAAGUGUCCCGCCUGGGGAGUACGACCGCAAGGCUA